Non-coding RNA from Ictidomys tridecemlineatus (thirteen-lined ground squirrel), 1211 nucleotides. Lineage: Eukaryota; Metazoa; Chordata; Mammalia; Rodentia; Sciuridae. The record is from RefSeq and is a predicted model, not a curated record.
CUGCCAUAUACUCAAAGGCCUGGGAGUGAUUAAAAUUUUAUUUGGUCCCUGGUUUUGUUCCUUGGCUAUCAGGUUAAGAUGUUUUACCAAAUCCUUUUAACAGGUAGUUUGGCAACUUGGACUACACAGGAAUUGUUUCUGAACUUGAGAUUGUACUGAGCACUAAUAGUGCACUGUUGGAAAAAAAAAUUAGUAUCAUUCAUACAUAUUGCCCUUUACUGUGACAAAGCAUUUCCACUUAUGGCAUCACAUUUGAUUUUCUAACACCUUAACCCGAAAAGUGCUUUCAAGCUACACAUCUCCCUCUCUAGGGUAUAUGAGAAGAAGAAGUGAAAGUGUGUUGAAGGCAGGGCAGAAAAAGGCUGCUCUUGGUAAUCAAGACAGAAAUUCCACCCCUGCUUUGGAGCUGAGUGUCUGAGAUCAAGUUCGAGGCUGAUAAGAUUCUAACACAGAGCCACCUCAUGAAGGACAUUGCUACAGCAGCUGCCACGAGCUGAACAGCUUUCCUGCACAAGGCCUUUCUACCCUGAGGAUUCCACCACGAAACCAGUAGACCAUGGACUGAACCUUCUGAAGAUGUGUAUCAAAAUGCACUUUUCCUCCUUCAAGAUGUUUUUAUCAGAAAUUUUAGUCAAAGCAAAGAAAAGAUGUCUAAUAUAUGGCUCCAUGUCUCCAUCUUUGAAGAGAGCAACAGUAUCUCAAAGCCUUCUUCUGCCAAUCUACUCUGCCACCUGUUCUGCCCCAUCUCUGAUGAGCUCUUCUGCUUCUCUCUGCCAUUUCUAAGAACAUGAUUAGAUUGUGCCCAUAAUCCAGGAUAAUCCUUCAUCUCAAGGUCCACAGCCUCAAUCAUAUCAGCAAAUGUCUUCUACCAUGAUGGUAACAUAAUCAUGGGCUCCUGAGAGAAGAGUGUGAUCAUUUCUGAUGGGGUGGGACAUAAUCCUGCCCAGGACAGUCCACUUGUUGUUACUGUAUUUACUUCCUCCAGCAUUUAUUUUUUCAUGCUAGCUCCAUAUCAUUUGUUUUCCAUCUGUACACUAGAUUUUGCUGAGGAGCUUUCUAAAAUAUACCAUCAACUAAAUUCAACCCCAGGCCAAUUAUCUCAAAAUUCUUUGGGGUGAAGAUAUUUUGUUCUAUUUUAGAUCAAAUGUUAUGUUAUGUUUAUUUAUGCUCCUGUUAAGUUUAUUAUGAUUAAAAACUCAAUUCUAAAAUCA